This 254-nucleotide ribosomal RNA is filed under the name uncultured bacterium. RNAcentral's name for it is "partial 16S ribosomal RNA". It matches the Rfam family "Bacterial small subunit ribosomal RNA", at positions 524 to 776 of the family's 1533-position model. The record is from RNAcentral.
UACGAAGGGUGCAAGCGUUACUCGGAAUUACUGGGCGUAAAGCGUGCGUAGGUGGUUUGUUAAGUCUGUUGUGAAAGCCCCGGGCUCAACCUGGGAAUGGCAAUGGAUACUGGCAGGCUAGAGUGCGGUAGAGGGUAGUGGAAUUCCCGGUGUAGCGGUGAAAUGCGUAGAGAUCGGGGAGGAACACCAGUGGCGAAGGCGGCUACCUGGACCAACACUGACACUGAGGCACGAAAGCGUGGGGAGCAAACAGG